GCACAUUUUAGGUGUCACCAUGGCAAGUCUGCAGCAGGGGAGGAUUUUCCUGUGUACAAAGAGACUGAUCCAUUAUUUUUAAGAUUAUUACUGAAUACCAGUACAUGAAAAAAGGAAUGUAGUCAAAAAUAUCAAAAAAAAGAUAUUUGAAGAAGCUCCCUUAAAUUAUCAACUAUAAUCACUGUAAUUAUUAUAAUUUAGGACUAUAUUAGCACCUAAAGACCCCAGUUCCAUGUUCCAGAAAUUGUUUAGAUAUAAGGUGGGUGAAGGGUUCAGCUACCAGCAGAGAAGUGAAAUAUUUUCCAGCGUGUUACAAAAGAUAACGUGCUAGAUUGUGCUCCUAGGACUGGACAACCCUGCAAUGUUUGCUGCAAUGAGAACACAGGCGGUUGCUUAAACCAGUAACAUCGCUUUCACAUGGCUGAAGUCUGAUGGAAUGGAUACAGACUUGUCUCUUCUUCAGAUGGUCAGGAGAAGGCACUAACCAUUCCCAGUCAGAAUGCUCAGAAGGACAAAGAGAGAGCUGUGAGCUCUGCACAAUGUGCUCCUUGUACAGCAGAGACAGAUUCCUUCAAAGUCAGUUAAAUUGCUAGCAACAUCUAACACAGGAAAAGGAAAAGAAGAAAAAGAAAAAUA
Molecule: long non-coding RNA, 636 nt
Filed under: Parus major (Great Tit)
Lineage: Eukaryota; Metazoa; Chordata; Aves; Passeriformes; Paridae
Description: lncRNA (ENSPMJG00000005610.1)
Source: RNAcentral